Molecule: long non-coding RNA, 1017 nt
Organism: Drosophila guanche
Lineage: Eukaryota; Metazoa; Arthropoda; Insecta; Diptera; Drosophilidae
Exons: 3
Source: RefSeq, a predicted model, not a curated record
CGACUGGACGUUCGUCUAGAGCAGGUUAUUUAACCGAUGUUCAUUACACUCGAAUGUGAUGAUUUUCUACUAACUGUAAAAAAUGUCUUACCUUUGCCAAAACAGUGUUGGUAAACAGUAACGUGCCUACCCAGAACAAGAAACUAUUGACGUUGAUAAAGUCGACGAUCUUCUGGACAACUGCCUUGAGAUGCUGUUUAAGAUUUUUAUGUUCUGAAGAAUGUUGCAGAAACCAUUGAAAACAGCAGGAACCUAGCAGAAGCUUCUGCAGCUCAGCAUUCUGGAAUUAAAGUCGUAUUACUCAGUGGGUUAGACUGAAUAAAAAUCCGCUUAAAAUCACCCUUCAUUCUUCCAUGUUUGAAAAUUUGUUUUGUAUAAUAUUAAAAGACAGGAAAGUAGGCGAUUCUCAAUAUUUUUGUCCUACUUUACACGGAGAUGCCUUAUAGAGCUCAGUUCCGUCUGUGCUAGUCAAUCGUUGCCAAAAAUGGGUAUCAUCAGCCGAAUUGUCGAUUAUUUUAGUCCCCAGCCAGAACCGGAGCUCACCUAUUACGAAUUAAUUCUGGGAAUGGUAAAACAGCCCAGGGAAUAUCUAUCAGCAGCAUAUCCGUAUGGCUCCAUGGCAAUGCUGUGCGCUUGCACAGGUCCAACGUAUAUUGUACGCUAAGGAUGUAAUAAAAAUGCCAAGACGACUCUUCGCUGGGAAUGGUGGUCCCCAACUGGUGCAGUACGAGGAGGAGCACGGGGAGGAGGAGCACGGUGAGGAGGAGCACGGGGAGGAGGAGCACGGGGAGGAGAACGGCCAGGAGGACGAAGAGGAGUUCGAGGAUUAGCAGGAGGAGUUCGAAGAGUCUGACGAGGAGUUCGUGGAUUAAGGAGGAGGCAGGCACCUCUGAAGAUGAAGCAGAUGAUAUUCAUGAACUGGAGGAUGCGUUCAACGAAUUCGCUCCAAUCCUUUAAAUAGUUAUACUUUUAAGUUGCAUUUUGUUUGAGUUUAACAGACGUCCAAUUUUGGCAUUU